RNAcentral lists this ribosomal RNA (468 nucleotides) under uncultured bacterium. RNAcentral's name for it is "partial 16S ribosomal RNA". It matches the Rfam family "Bacterial small subunit ribosomal RNA", at positions 28 to 507 of the family's 1533-position model. The record is from RNAcentral.
GACGAACGCUGGCGGCGUGCUUAACACAUGCAAGUCGAACGGAAAGGCCCUGCUUUUGUGGGGUGCUCGAGUGGCGAACGGGUGAGUAACACGUGAGUAACCUGCCCUUGACUUUGGGAUAACUUCAGGAAACUGGGGCUAAUACCGGAUAGGAGCUCCUGCUGCAUGGUGGGGGGUGGAAAGUUUCGGCGGUUGGGGAUGGACUCGCGGCUUAUCAGCUUGUUGGUUGGGUAGUGGCUUACCAAGGCUUUGACGGGUAGCCGGCCUGAGAGGGUGACCGGCCACAUUGGGACUGAGAUACGGCCCAGACUCCUACGGGAGGCAGCAGUGGGGAAUAUUGCACAAUGGGCGGAAGCCUGAUGAAGCAACGCCGCGUGCGGGAUGACGGCCUUCGGGUUGUAAACCGCUUUCGCCUGUGACGAAGCGUGAGUGACGGUAAUGGGUAAAGAAGCACCGGCUAACUACGUG